UGGAUCAAACUGUUUCUUUAUUUUACAAUUAAGGUAUGGAGUAAACUAUUUCUAUAUUUUACAAUUAAGAUAUGGAGCAAACAGUUUCUAUAUUUUACAAUUAAGGUAUGGAGUAAACUGUUUCUAUAUUUGACAAUUUAGGUAUGGAGCAAACUGUUUCUAUAUUUUACAAUUAAGGUAUGGAGUAAACUGUUUCUAUAUUUGACAAUUUAGGUAUGGAGUAAACUGUUUCUAUAUUUGACAAUACCGGUAUGGAGUAAACUGUUUUUUUAUUUUACAAUUAAGGUAUGGAGUAAACUGUUUCUAUAUUUUACAAUUUAGGUAUGGAGUAAACUGUCUUUUUUAUUUUACAAUUCAGGUAUGGAGUAAACUGUUUCUUUAUUUUACAAUUAAGGUAUGGAGUAAACUGUUUCUUUAUUUUACAAUUAAGGUAUGGAGUAAACUGUUUCUUUAUUUUACAAUAUAGGUAUGGAGUAAACUGUUUCUAUAUUUUACAAUUUAGGUAUGGUGUUAACUAUUUCCAUAUUUUACAAUAUAGGUAUGGAGUAAACUGUUUUUUAUUUUACAAUGAAGGUAUGGAGUAAACUGUUUUUUAUUUGACAAUUUAGGUAUGGAGUAAACUGUUUCUAUAUUUGACAAUACAGGUAUGGAGUAAACUGUUUUUUUAUUUUACAAUUAAGGUAUGGAGUAAACUGUUUCUAUAUUUUACAAUUUAGGUAUGGAGUAAACUGUUUUUUAUUUUACAAUUAAGGUAUGGAGUAAACUGUUUUUUAUUUUACAAUUAAGGUAUGGAGUAAACUGUUUUUUAUUUUACAAUUUAGGUAUGGAGUAAACUGUUUUUUUAUUUUACAAUUAAGGUAUGGAGUAAACUGUUUUUUAUUUUACAAUUUAGGUAUGGAGUAAACUGUUUUUUAUUUUACAAUUAAGGUAUGGAGUAAACUGUUUUUUAUUUUACAAUUUAGGUAUGGAGUAAACUAUUUCUAUAUUUUACAAUUUAGGUAUGGAGUAAACUGUUUUUUAUUUUACAAUUAAGGUAUGGAGUAAACUGU
Mytilus californianus (California mussel) is the source of this 1049-nucleotide long non-coding RNA. RefSeq lists it as uncharacterized. The record is from RefSeq and is a predicted model, not a curated record. NCBI's taxonomy places the organism in Eukaryota, Metazoa, Mollusca, Bivalvia, Mytilida, Mytilidae. The transcript has 3 exons.